RNAcentral lists this ribosomal RNA (253 nucleotides) under uncultured bacterium. Its description in RNAcentral is "partial 16S ribosomal RNA". It matches the Rfam family "Bacterial small subunit ribosomal RNA", at positions 524 to 776 of the family's 1533-position model. The record is from RNAcentral.
UACGGAGGGGGCUCGCGUUGUUCGGCAUUACUGGGCGUAAAGCGCGCGUAGGCGGCUUUGUAAGUUAGAGGUGAAAGCCCGGAGCUUAACUCCGGAACUGCCUUUAAGACUGCAUCGCUAGAAGCGUGGAGAGGUGAGUGGAAUUCCGAGUGUAGAGGUGAAAUUCGUAGAUAUUCGGAAGAACACCAGUGGCGAAGGCGACUCACUGGACACGUAUGGACGCUGAGGUGCGAAAGCGUGGGGAGCAAACAGG